This is a non-coding RNA of Arachis ipaensis, 499 nucleotides long. The record is from RefSeq and is a predicted model, not a curated record. Lineage: Eukaryota; Viridiplantae; Streptophyta; Magnoliopsida; Fabales; Fabaceae.
UGGUUGGAGAAAUUGAUGUUUUGUGUGUUUGAAUUUGAGAAUUGCUUUUUUUUUCAGGUUUUGAUAAGAAUUCAACCGCUGAGUGCGACGGAGAAGGUUGUGCAAGGACAUGAAAGGUGCUUGAAGCUGGAAAGUGCACAAACUUUGGUGUGGCUUAGUCACCGGGUGUAAGACUUUAUCCCAGGUUUUAUGUUAUUUUGGUGUUUGGAGUUGGCUUCGGGUUCUAGUGGUGACUGGUGAGGAAAGAAGUUGAGACUGUGACUGCUUUCAUUGUGUAUGGUAUUCUUUUCGGCCAGAAAUUUUCCUCAAGGAACAAUAAGUGACAUGGUAAAUGAUGCUUCUCAAGGAAUCUCUUUUAUCAUCAAUAACAUAGCUAAUUGUGUCUUUGUGCUUGCAAUAAGUAAAAACAAAAAAGAAAAAAGAAAAAAAGAACUAGAUAUGAGUAUCAAGUGUUACCAAUGAUGGAUUUUAUAUUUGUAUGUGAGGCUUUGUUUUUGGU